Molecule: ribosomal RNA, 482 nt
Filed under: uncultured bacterium
Lineage: Bacteria
Description: bacterial SSU rRNA
Rfam family: Bacterial small subunit ribosomal RNA
Source: RNAcentral
GAUGAACGCUAGCGGCAGGCCUAAUACAUGCAAGUCGAACGGAUAUAUGUUUUUCGGAAUAUAUAUUAGUGGCGCACGGGUGAGUAACACGUACAUAACUUGCCCUCAAGCGGGGGAUAGCCUUGGGAAACUGAGAGUAAUACCCCAUAGAAUUAUUGGACGGCAUCGUUUGAUAAUUAAAACUACGGUGCUUGGGGAUAGAUGUGCGUCUGAUUAGCUAGUUGGUGAGGUAACUGCUCACCAAGGCGACGAUCAGUAGGGGGCGUGAGAGCGUGGCCCCCCACACGGGUACUGAGACACGGACCCGACUCCUACGGGAGGCAGCAGUAAGGAAUAUUGGUCAAUGGAGGGAACUCUGAACCAGCCAUGCCGCGUGAAGGAUGACGGCCCUCUGGGUUGUAAACCUCUUUUGGAUGGGGCGAAAAAACGGGAUUUAUCCUGGACUGACGGUACCAUCAGAAUAAGCACCGGCUAACUCCGUG